AUUGAACGCUGGCGGCAGGCCUAACACAUGCAAGUCGAACGGUAACAGGAAGCAGCUUGCUGCUUUGCUGACGAGUGGCGGACGGGUGAGUAAUGUCUGGGAAACUGCCCGAUGGAGGGGGAUAACUACUGGAAACGGUAGCUAAUACCGCAUAACGUCGCAAGACCAAAGAGGGGGACCUUAGGGCCUCUUGCCAUCGGAUGUGCCCAGAUGGGAUUAGCUAGUAGGUGGGGUAACGGCUCACCUAGGCGACGAUCCCUAGCUGGUCUGAGAGGAUGACCAGCCACACUGGAGCUGAGACACGGUCCAGACUCCUACGGGAGGCAGCAGUGGGGAAUAUUGCACAAUGGGCGCAAGCCUGAUGCAGCCAUGCCGCGUGUAUGAAGAAGGCCUUCGGGUUGUAAAGUACUUUCAGCGGGGAGGAAGGGAGUAAAGUUAAUACCUUUGCUCAUUGACGUUACCCGCAGAAGAAGCACCGGCUAACUCCGUG
This 490-nucleotide ribosomal RNA is filed under the name uncultured bacterium. Its description in RNAcentral is "partial 16S ribosomal RNA". It matches the Rfam family "Bacterial small subunit ribosomal RNA", at positions 30 to 507 of the family's 1533-position model. The record is from RNAcentral.